UACGUAGGCGGUCUAAUAAGUCAGUGGUGAAAUCCUGCGGCUCAACCGUAGAACUGCCAUUGAUACUGUUAGACUUGAAUAUAGUUGAGGUAGGCGGAAUGUGUUGUGUAGCGGUGAAAUGCUUAGAUAUAACACAGAACACCGAUUGCGAAGGCAGCUUACUAGACUAUUAUUGACGCUGAGGUACGAAAGCGUGGGGAGCGAACAGGAUUAGAUACCCUGGUAGUCC
RNAcentral lists this ribosomal RNA (229 nucleotides) under uncultured bacterium. Its description in RNAcentral is "partial 16S ribosomal RNA". It matches the Rfam family "Bacterial small subunit ribosomal RNA", at positions 568 to 796 of the family's 1533-position model. The record is from RNAcentral.